AUACUUACCUGGCAGGGGAGAUACCAUGAUCAAGAAGGUGGUUCACCCAGGGCGAGGCUCAGUCAUUGCACUGCGACUGUGCUGACCACUGC
This is a small nuclear RNA of Gasterosteus aculeatus aculeatus (three-spined stickleback), 92 nucleotides long. Its record names the gene U1. It matches the Rfam family "U1 spliceosomal RNA". Rfam says of the family: U1 is a small nuclear RNA (snRNA) component of the spliceosome (involved in pre-mRNA splicing). Its 5' end forms complementary base pairs with the 5' splice junction, thus defining the 5' donor site of an intron. There are significant differences in sequence and secondary structure between metazoan and yeast U1 snRNAs, the latter being much longer (568 nucleotides as compared to 164 nucleotides in human). The record is from Ensembl. Lineage: Eukaryota; Metazoa; Chordata; Actinopteri; Perciformes; Gasterosteidae.